UCCUUUCAUUUGUUUUUUCUUUAGAAGGAUUUUAUUAUUCUUCUCGAAAGAGCGUAGAAAGAUACAGAGCAUUGGUUGUUUGUUCGAAACCUUUUCUGUUUUCUCCGUAUUUGUUCUUCAAUCUCGUCUUCAUCCACAACCUCUCUUUCCCUGAAGAUUUUCGAGCUGCGAUAACUGUUCUGAUCGAUAAAAUCACGGCUACAGCUGGAAACAAGAACAUCAACGCGAAACUGGUGGUACUUGGAGAUGUUGGCCCGGGAAAGUCGAAUCUUGUGUUACGGUUUGUUAAAGAUCAGUUUGUUGAGUUCCAGGAAUCAACCAUAGCCCAUAGGUGUAGCUUUUUUCUCACAAGCGUUAGCUGUUAACGAGGCGACUGUCAAGUUUCAGAUAUAGGAUACGGCUGGUCAGGAACGGUACCAUAGUUUGGCUCCGAUGUACUACAGGGCUGCCGCUGCUGCAGUUGUUGUCUUUGACGUUACAAAUCAAGCGUCGUUUGAGAGGGCAAAGAAAUGGGUUCAGGAACUGCAGGCGCAAUACUUUAUAUCAUGGUAACGCUAAUAUGGUAGUGGCCCUUGCUGGAAACAAAUCUGAUUUAUUAGAUGCAAGGAAGGUGACUGUAGAGGAGGCACAAACAUAUGCUCAGGAGAACGGUCUUUUUUUCAUGGAAACUUCUGCAAAAACCGCAGUUAAUGUCAAAGAGAUAUUCUUUGAGAUCGCAAGAAAGUUACCACGAGUACAACCAACAGAAACCCAACAGGAAUGGUUUUACCAGACAGGGCCAUGGAUUGGACAGUGAGUUCAUUUUGUUGUGUUUAUAGUUAUACUUAUACGUACAGUAUUGACAAACACUUCUCUUGUAAGAGACCUUUUGGUCAGUCACUAAGGAGUUGUGGACUUCUGUGUUUGAUAAGCUUUGUUCAGCUUGUAGACAUUUAAUUAACCA
RNA transcript from Raphanus sativus (radish), 943 nucleotides. It is a transcript of the gene named ras-related protein RABF2b-like, with no coding region annotated. The record is from RefSeq and is a predicted model, not a curated record. The transcript is spliced from 7 exons. NCBI's taxonomy places the organism in Eukaryota, Viridiplantae, Streptophyta, Magnoliopsida, Brassicales, Brassicaceae.